RNAcentral lists this ribosomal RNA (323 nucleotides) under Allapsidae sp. RNAcentral's name for it is "SSU rRNA". The stretch from base 106 to 323 matches the Rfam family "Eukaryotic small subunit ribosomal RNA", at positions 737 to 955 of the family's 1831-position model. The record is from RNAcentral. Lineage: Eukaryota; Cercozoa; Glissomonadida; Viridiraptoridae.
GAUUUCUGGUCUGAUGUGCCUGGCCCGCCGGCGUUAGUCGUGUGAGUGUCGGGACGCGUCUGCCAUCCUUCUAGAAAACGUUUCUACUCUUCAUUGAGCCGGAGACGCUAUCUAGAUCUUUUACUUUGAAAAAAUUAGAGUGUUUCAAGCAGGCUUUAUGCUAUGAAUACAUUAGCAUGGAAUAAUAAUUUAGGACUUCGGUUCUAUUUUGUUGGUUUCUAGGACUGAAGUAAUGAUUGAUAGGGAUAGUUGGGGGUGCUAGUAUUCAGCGGCCAGAGGUGAAAUUCUCGGAUUCGCUGAAGACUAACUUAUGCGAAAGCAUU